CUGACAAAGAGUCAGAUUAGGGGCAGAGCCAGCAUGAUUCAAACACAGCCCUGGCCAAUCAGCAUCUCCUCAUAGAGAAGAAUUGAAUCAAUGAAUCUCUAUGAGGAAAGUUCAGUGUCUGCAUGCAGAGGGAGGAGUCACUGAAUGUUUGGAUGCAUUUUAGGCAGCCAUGACCCAGGAAGGAUCUCUAACAGCCAUCUGAGGAGUGGCCAGUGAAGUGUAAUGUAAAUAGGCUGUAAUGUAUAUACUGCAUUUUCUCUGAAAAGACAGUGUUUACAGCAAAAAAAGUCUGAAGGUAAUGAUUCUACUCACCAGAACAAAUUCAAUAAGCUGUAGUUGUUCUGGUGGCUGUAGUGUCCCUUUAAUGCAAC
Molecule: long non-coding RNA, 371 nt
Filed under: Pelobates cultripes (western spadefoot toad)
Lineage: Eukaryota; Metazoa; Chordata; Amphibia; Anura; Pelobatidae
Source: RNAcentral